This 84-nucleotide transfer RNA is filed under the name Lentinula edodes (shiitake mushroom). It matches the Rfam family "tRNA". From Rfam's summary of the family: Transfer RNA (tRNA) molecules are approximately 80 nucleotides in length. Their secondary structure includes four short double-helical elements and three loops (D, anti-codon, and T loops). The record is from Rfam by way of RNAcentral. Lineage: Eukaryota; Fungi; Basidiomycota; Agaricomycetes; Agaricales; Omphalotaceae.
GGCCGCCUGGCGAAAUGGCAUCGCGUCUGACUACGAUUGUCAUUUGUUAUCAGGAGAUUGCAGGUUCGACCCCUGCGGUGGUCA